UACGGGGGAGACAAGUGUUACUCAUCAUGACUGGGUGUAAAGGAUCUUUAGACGGCUCAUAAAAAAUGGCUGCAAAAGACUCUUUUUUAGGAGAGUAGAUGCCAUGCUAUAAUGAGCUAGAGUUUAGCAGGGGAAAACAGUACUUGGAUUUUAGAGGUGAAAUUCAGAAAGAAUUCAGGGACUCUCAUUAAGCGAAAGCAGUUUUCCAGGUUAUAACUGACGUUGAAGGAUGAAAGUAUAGGGAGCAAAUGGG
This 253-nucleotide unclassified non-coding RNA is filed under the name uncultured bacterium. RNAcentral's name for it is "contains 16S-23S intergenic spacer region". It matches the Rfam family "Bacterial small subunit ribosomal RNA", at positions 524 to 776 of the family's 1533-position model. The record is from RNAcentral.